This 466-nucleotide ribosomal RNA is filed under the name uncultured bacterium. Its description in RNAcentral is "partial 16S ribosomal RNA". It matches the Rfam family "Bacterial small subunit ribosomal RNA", at positions 338 to 795 of the family's 1533-position model. The record is from RNAcentral.
CCUACGGGAGGCAGCAGUAGGGAAUAUUCCACAAUGGACGAAAGUCUGAUGGAGCAACGCCGCGUGAGUGAAGAAGGGUUUCGGCUCGUAAAGCUCUGUUGGUAGUGAAGAAAGAAAGAGGUAGUAACUGGCCAUUAUUUGACGGUAAUUACUUAGAAAGUCACGGCUAACUACGUGCCAGCAGCCGCGGUAAUACGUAGGUGGCAAGCGUUGUCCGGAUUUAUUGGGCGUAAAGCGAGUGCAGGCGGUUCAAUAAGUCUGAUGUGAAAGCCUUCGGAUCAACCGGGUAAUGGCAUCAGAAACGUGUGAACUUGAGUGCAGAAGAGGAGAGUGGAACUCCAUGUGUAGCGGUGGAAUGGGUAGAUAAAUGGAAGAACACCAGUGGCGAAGGCGGCCGCCUGGCCUUUUAACUGACGCUGAGGCACGAAAGCGUGGGUAGCAAAUAGGAUUAGAUACCCCAGUAGUC